UGUGGUGCUUCAGUGGGCGCUUGAACAUGACGUCACAUCACUUUUAAAUACCGCUUGCUUUCUUCGUCAUAUCCUCUUUCCGUUGCUCUUCUCGCUCUGAGAAACCUCUCCACACGAUGAGAGCCAAGUGGAGGAAGAAGCGUAUGCGCAGGCUGAAGCGUAAAAGGAGAAAGAUGAGGCAGAGGUCAAAGUAAGCCCCUCCUCCUCGCCAGCUGUGAUCCCAUCCGAACCUCUCCAGGUGACUGACACGUGCGGACGAAGGGGGAUCGCUCGGAGCCGAAAUUAAAGGCGUAAACUCCAUGAUUUCAGAUGACCGCACCUCUCGCUGAGCCCGCUGUAAUGGUCUGACUGGAAGACGGUGAAGAUGCUGGAGAGAACAACAGAACUGCAGCUGCAUUGUUCAUGGACCAUAAUACAUCUUGUCUGUACAAUUGUUACGUGGUGUUUUGAACAAUAAAUGAACACUGUUAUAAAUUACCCACAA
This is a long non-coding RNA of Archocentrus centrarchus (flier cichlid), 484 nucleotides long. RefSeq lists it as uncharacterized. Lineage: Eukaryota; Metazoa; Chordata; Actinopteri; Cichliformes; Cichlidae. The record is from RefSeq and is a predicted model, not a curated record. The transcript is spliced from 4 exons.